AUCGCUUCUCGGCCUUUUGGCUAAGAUCAAGUGUAGUAUCUGUUCUUAUCAGUUUAAUAAAAUAUAGUGGUAAGUAAAGUAAACAAACCUGGGUUCAGUCUCAGUCUGUCAUUUAACUGCUCUGUAAAAUAGACUAAUUUAUUUACUUUUAAGUUCAGUUUUCAAUGGAUAAAAUAGAAACAGU
Myotis myotis is the source of this 184-nucleotide small nuclear RNA. RefSeq annotates it as U2 spliceosomal RNA. NCBI's taxonomy places the organism in Eukaryota, Metazoa, Chordata, Mammalia, Chiroptera, Vespertilionidae. The record is from RefSeq and is a predicted model, not a curated record. The transcript has a single exon.